Molecule: long non-coding RNA, 1486 nt
Filed under: Medicago truncatula (barrel medic)
Lineage: Eukaryota; Viridiplantae; Streptophyta; Magnoliopsida; Fabales; Fabaceae
Description: long non-coding RNA (MTRU_LNC000029)
Source: RNAcentral
UUAUGUAUGAGUGUGUUUUCAAAUAACUUAUCUUUGAAAUGGUGGAAAAUUUAUACGUAAUAAACAAGUGUGUAUGUUUCAUUUGCAACUCUACAUACGGGGAUUGUUACAGACAUAUAGAUUUGAAGAAAACAUAUAUAAUAUUGUGCACCUGUAGUGUUUGAGUGAUUAAAUGUAGCUUAAUACAAGGUGAUGGGAUAAAACCGCAAGUGCACGGUUUUAUCGAAGUAGUAAAAAUAGAGUAUCGUUCCGACAGGGAGUUAGGAAUUCAAUUAACUUUAAAUAAUAAUUAGACUGAAGGUUUAAAAGGUAGAAAAGUUUGUAUUUUUAAUUAAAAGAAAAAUAACAAAAGAAAAGAUAAAAGCCUUGGGAUUAUUGGUUCAUCUAAUUGACUAGUCCUUCACAAACCAAACUAUUAAACUUAUAACAUUAUGUUAGAUCUAACUUCUAAAGACAGUUUCUCUUUUGUUCCUCUAGCCACCAAGCCUAUUUCGCUGACUUGAUGACUAUUAGAUUUUGGUUCCUUUAAUAACCAAGCCUAUUUCGCUGACUUGAUUACUAUUAGUUCCCUUGAAGAUCGAAACUAUAUGUCUCAAGGAUUGCAAAGACUAUUUCGCUGCCUUUGCAAUCCUUGUCUAAAUUCACUUGUUCGAAUAUCAAAGCUCCACUUUCGUUUUAUGAAUUGAUAUUUGAGAUGAUGGAUUAACAAUUAUCAAACCCUCCACUUUCGUUUCCACAGUUUGAUAAUGGUUAAUUCAUGUUAAAGCGGUGAAUUUAGAUUAGAGAUUAGGGUUACAUAAGAUUAAUGUUUAAAGCUUGGUUUGAUUAGGAUUAUGUCAUUUAGACUUAUCCAACAAUCCUAAGACAAGAAGAAGUCUACUCACUAACGUUCAUUGUAGACAUGGAGAAGAAGAGAGAAAGCAUAAAAGUAAAUGACAAGAAAGUAAAGGUGAACUUUUAUUCAAAGAAACAAUUGUCACUUAUUAUUUCAGAUAACAAAAGAUGAAUAUUUGUGAUGGCUAGCUACUCUAUUUAUAGUUUACAUUCGACUUAAAAUCUAAGCAAUCACUAGAAUGUUCCACAAGUAAACUAAACAGAGUAGCUUAAAAUCUAAGCAAAAGUAGUUCUGGAGGGUGGCACGGCCUUGCCAAGCCUAGCACGGGCCGUGCCAAGUUUCUGACUUGAGGGAGAUAUAUUUUUGUCUCCGAAUCUUCGUAUUUUCGUACCAAAUCAGCUCCAAAACCCCUUUCUUUUGCUCCAAGACUCAAUCCAUCAAAUAUUCGUUCCUGAAAUAUAACAAUAUGCAAUUGUAGUAAAAUAGUUCAAAAAGGAAAUAAUAUUAAUAUAAAAUAAACUUAAAUCUAAUUAAAACGAAACUAAAUAAUAUAUUAAAAUAGAUAAUAAAUGAUUCAUCACAAGGAUGCGUGACAUUGAGAUCUGCAGCAACUAAAGUAUCAUAUUUUUUAAAGGAUAUUAUGCAUUGUAG